Long non-coding RNA from Chinchilla lanigera (long-tailed chinchilla), 2655 nucleotides. RefSeq lists it as uncharacterized. The transcript is spliced from 2 exons. NCBI's taxonomy places the organism in Eukaryota, Metazoa, Chordata, Mammalia, Rodentia, Chinchillidae. The record is from RefSeq and is a predicted model, not a curated record.
UCUCCUGCCUCAGUUUCCCUAAGUGCUGGGGUGACAGCCGUGCACAACCAUGCUUGGCUUCGGACCUCGCAUCUGACCAGCACGUUAUAGUUUAUGAAGCAUAUCCAAGCACAGCCACAACCCUCUGUGAAACGGCCUUGUCAUCCCUCUUUUACGAGUGGGGAGACUGAGGUGACCUCAGUUGCUGAGAUCACACAGUAAAUGAUAGACUAUUGGACCUAGGUGGUCUUUGGGACUAUCUAGUUCUGUCCCCUCAUUUUAUAAAUGACAAUGGUGAGGCCUCAGGGAGCUCUCUGUUCUGGGGUCCCUUCUAGCUAUAUGACAGUCAGCCCCAGGUUCCCUUUCCCAGGGAACGUGCCAGCUUCAGACAGGGCCCAGUGCAGACAUCAGCCCUUGGUUCUAGUGAUUGUGGACACAGCAGUGUCAUGCGGUGGCCAGGCUUCCAGGCUCUGGCACCAGCUGGAUCCGAGUUCCAAUUCUGACGAUCUCAUGUGUCCUUGGGAAGCUGACCUCCUCUCUCUGUGCUUUAGUGUCUUCACGUGCAGCGUGAGUUCUCUCAUUGGAUAUGGAGAGGGUUAGACAGCACACACAGGCACAUGGCUUAGCAGAGAGCCUGCACACAGUAAGUGCUUAAUAAACGCUGGCGGUUCAGUGUUUAUACUCCCAGGGAUGACUAAAGGGCUGGAGUGUCCCAGCUCCCAAUUUUGGGACCCUGAUGUUUGUCCUUUGCAAGUCUCCAUUGGCCUCCCAGAAGGUGAGGACCAGGUGGCUGUGCCUGGGGCUGACAGAUACAAGCUGGGCGGCCUCCCUGGGCCCCAGCUGCAGAGACGGUGGCCUCUUCAUGCAGAAGGGUAAAGGGAAGCGGAAGAUUCCUUUGCACCUUCUUUUCCCAGUGCUGUGCCGUCCUGCCUUAGGAUACUCCAUCAAUCUUCUGAAAUAGUUCUGCAGUGCAGGUUGAAGGCCAUGUCUAACCUUGACUCUGUCCCCGAAGCCUCCAGACAUCAUAGCCAGGCUGGGUCUGGGGGAGCCUCAGGGGUCUCCCGGAGCAGUCACUGGGGAGGGUGGCAGGUGGCACAAGGGGACACGCCUGCAGGCCGUGUGCUUGUGGGAAAGCCUUUGGAGCAGGGAAGGGGUGGUGGCCGAGGGGCACCUGCGGAAGAUGUCAGGGAGCCGGGUGCCUCCCCAUCCCCGGCAGAGUCCUCAGGAGUCAACCCUUCACCCAGGUGGUGUGUGGCAACGUCUUGCCGCCUCGAUGAAGACAGGCUUUGAAAGUCAAUUAUUUGAAACCCAGGACGCCGAGGCCUCCAGGGCCUCUCAGCAACGAGCUCUGAGCAAACAGGCUUUUGGCAAGUUCAGAGAAGAGGAAACAGGAUUGAAUUUCCCCUCCGACUCACCUGGGGGAGAAUUCAGACUGCCUGGUGGUUAGGACAUGGGGGAUCUUGGCUCUGUGGUAGGCUUGAGAGUGGGGGUCCUUUGGGGUCAUGGAGGCAGGCCCAGAGCCAUUCUGUAGCUUCCCCGCAGCAGCUGGUCCUAGGCUCAGGACUACCAAGGUCAAGCAGUUCUUCCCUGGGUCUAACUUCAUUACCUCUCGCUGCAAAUGAAAAGACGCCGUGCCGCUGGCUCAGCAACCGAGUCGAGGAGGUUUGAGGCCCCAACCUGACCAUGCCAGCUGGGUGUGCUGUUGGGCAAGCUGCUUGGCCUCUCUGGACCUUUCCCCGCCUGUAAAGUGGAGGGAACGCUGGGUUCCCUACGUCUUUCAGAAAGCAGGUAGGGCGGAAGGCUGCUCACGUGUCCAAGUUAAAGGAACGCCACGAGGGGACCUUCCUCACCAACCCGGGCCCGCACUCGACUGUGACUACAACUCAGGAGGACCUACUGCAGAAGACUGACCCGGGGGUGCGCUGGAGCGGUGGGGGUAGAUGAAGGGAAACGCUCACCUUUCAGUCUCUACAAGUCAUGAGCUCAUGGGGGUGGGGAAGGCUGCAGACUUGAGAACCAGGGGGAAGAACUCUGAGAAAAUGGCAGAGCAGGACAAUGGCGUAUGUGACCUCCCUGGGCCACUUUCCGCACUCAGGCCCACUGUCCUCUUGGGCUGGGGCCCCUGCCCUGAGCCAGCCUGGCAGCACCUAGGGCUGAGGCAGGCCCAGCCUCUGCCCUUCUCCUCCCCAGCUCCAGCCCUGCCCUCCAUCUGAACACCCGCCCCAUCCCCACAGCAGCCUCCCAUCCCCAUCGCUCUAACAGAACUCAGAGCAAAACUGAGGAGGCGUGGAGCAGUGGUUCUCAGCCUUGCCUGUACAGAGUCACAGAAGGAAGCUUUUAAAAGCCCCAAUGCCUGGGCUGCCCUCCAGGCCCCAGACUGAUAAAAGAGAAUGCCUGUGUGCAUGAGUGUAUGUGUGCAUGUAUGUGCACAUGUAUGUGUGCGUGUGUGUGCAGGAUCUUUUAAAGCUCCACAGGUGACUCCAGUGAACAGGCAUGGCUGAGAGUCCAAGCUGUAGAUCCUCUGGCCACAUGCAUCCUGAGCUGCACCUUCUGCCUGUAAGAAGCAGGAACCUCCAGAGUCAUCCCACACAGCCAUCAGGCAGAUUAGGAGGGAAACCUGAGCAAGACAGGGCCUGGCACCUAAUAGGUGCUCAUUAAACGCUUGCUAAAUACUAA